This 71-nucleotide transfer RNA is filed under the name Pseudomonas phage hairong. RNAcentral's name for it is "tRNA-OTHER". It matches the Rfam family "tRNA". From Rfam's summary of the family: Transfer RNA (tRNA) molecules are approximately 80 nucleotides in length. The record is from RNAcentral. Lineage: Duplodnaviria; Heunggongvirae; Uroviricota; Caudoviricetes.
GCGGAUAUGUACGGGGUACUACGCAGCCUUCCAAGCUGACUACGAGAGUUCGAUUCUCUCUAUCCGCUCCA